This is a long non-coding RNA of Canis lupus familiaris (dog), 298 nucleotides long. RefSeq lists it as uncharacterized. The record is from RefSeq and is a predicted model, not a curated record. The transcript has 3 exons. Lineage: Eukaryota; Metazoa; Chordata; Mammalia; Carnivora; Canidae.
CUGUUUUUCAGAAACAGCAACACCACCACCAGCAGCAACAGAAGAUGGAGGUUGACCAAAAUAGAUGCCAGAAUUGAUCAGAGAGUUUAACUGAAUUACUCCAGUUUACAGAGCAGUAAGGAGCAGAAGUAGGACUCAAAUCAAGCCAGGUCUGGAGGUAGCAUACAUGACUCUGUUGUACUGGCCAGAAUCCAGCUGCCUUACUAAGUGCCAGGAAGACAAGAAUACUUGCCUCGCUAUGUGUCAAGAGGCUCCGGUGAACCAAUAUUAUUCCCCAGAACAAGUUUCUUGCGUAUUU